UCAGCUUCUGAAAAGAAAUGCCUUGAUGAACCUGCUUGGAUGGGUAUAGUUAAGCCACGGUGUUAUAUUAGUCUCCUGUGUACGAUACAGGGAUUCAACAACCUUAUACAUGUCUCCGCUCUCAUCACGAAGCAGGAACUCAGGGGAGAAGAGGCCAUGAGAAGAUCCUGGAAAACGCAAGAAUCCUACAGACGGUCUCAAGACUCCACAGGCUGCAGGACAGAAAUUCAGUGGCCCUGGAUCCCAUGUUGCCUGGCAUUCAGGGUUGGGAGAACUUCAAGGGCAUCUGGGCUACAUCAUGGCUAAAAGCUGAGUGUUUCAUGAGUUCUUUCAGACCUAGACAAGCAUUUAUUUUAUUGAAUGUUUUAAUUUUAAACAUUAGGCCUUUCAAGAAGGAAUGGAGCUGAAAUUCCAUUCAUAUUGCUAUAAUCACCACGAUACCAUACUGCGGUAGUAGCAAUGAACUUUUUCAAACUUACAGUGUUCUUUGAUCUUCACCACUGUCUUGUCAGACAGCAAUGGCUGGUGGUAUUAAUUUUACGUUUCCAUUGGGAAACAAAGGCAAAAGACAUGAACGAUAAAGGCACGGUUUAGAGCCCAGUUCUGACAGUCGGUGCAGGGAGCCCCCCACCAAGGUGACCUUGGGAAGGGUCUUUGUUCUUUGCCCUCUGUUUUCCUCUCAAAUGAGCUAGCUGUGGAGUUCGAUUCUAAUUCGGAGCAAAUCAAUGUGUAGAAUCGCAUUUUAGAAUAUUCCAGCGAGGAGGUUAAAUCAUUUGGUCCUUAAGGUCUGAGUCUCAAAUCCAGCACCUUACCAUUUUCCUUUAAAAUCUGCACGUCGUUUGUCUGCAGGAGGGAGGGAGGGAAAAAGUGUGAUCACACUUCACUCUCCCUACAUUUUACAGCCACAUGUCAGCAGUAGGGGGCUUCCAGUCCUGGCCCAGGAGGGCCAUCUUCCUCUGGAAGGGAUAAGACCUAGAGGCCCCCACCCACUUGACUUGUCUUUUCAGGUAUCAUCUGUAGUCAGGUGAGGUCAAGUUUAAAUGAGACUCCCUAACAGGAAAGAGGACAAGAUCCCACAAAACCUAGGCCAAGGGGGGUUUGUGGUCCCAAAGGGGAGCAGCUUCACACUGGGGGGUGGGAGUACCGAGGGGAACCUUUCUCCUCUACCCUUGGCUCCAACAUCCCACUCACGUAUACUCACACUUCGUCUCAGAUGAUGCGCCCCAGAAUAACCGCAGCCACCACUGAGGAAGCCCUGAUGGGCCAGAUUCAUUUCCUGCCACUGAGUAUCCUUUCUUCACAGAAGGGAGCGCUAAGUGGCGGGGAUUGCAAGCCACCUGUCGGCAGGGUCAGUGUUUGAGCCUCUGCUACUGCAAAGCCAUAUGCUAUGCUGUUCCAUCCACUGCUUCCCCAAAGCCCGCCUAUGAGAAAAUAAAAAAAGGGGUGACUUUUCUCAUAAAUAUAAAUUCAUGUCUUUUUAUUUGGAAGACUACGUUCUUAGUUUUUCUGGUGUCAGACUGU
Long non-coding RNA from Lynx canadensis (Canada lynx), 1521 nucleotides. RefSeq lists it as uncharacterized. The transcript has 3 exons. NCBI's taxonomy places the organism in Eukaryota, Metazoa, Chordata, Mammalia, Carnivora, Felidae. The record is from RefSeq and is a predicted model, not a curated record.